AUGCGUAGAUAUCGGGAGGAACACCAGUGGCGAAGGCGGCUCUCUGGGCCAUUCCUGACGCUGAGAUGCGAAAGCUAGGGGAGAGAACGGGAUUAGAAACCCCGGUAUUCCUAGCCGUAAACGAUGUCAACUAGGUGUAGGAGGUCAUUGACCCCUCCUGUGCUGUAGCUAACGCGUUAAGUUGACCGCCUGGGGACUACGGCCGCAAGGCUAAAACUCAAGGGAAUUGACGGGGACCCGCACAAGCAGCGGAGCGUGUGGUUUAAUUCGAGGCUACGCGAAGAACCUUACCAGGGCUUGACAUAUGCGUGGUAGGAAAUCGAAAGAGGACCGACCCUUCGGGGAGCGCAUACAGGUGCUGCAUGGCUGUCGUCAGCUCGUGCCGUGAGGUGUUAGGUUAAGUCCUGUAACGAGCGCAACCCUCGUCGUUAGUUACAUGUGUCUAGCGAGACUGCCGGUGAUAAGCCGGAGGAAGGUGAGGAUGACGUCAAGUCAGCAUGGCCUUUAUGUCCUGGGCUACACACACGCUACAAUGGCCAGUACAAUGGGUAGCCAAACCGCGAGGUGGAGCCAAUCCCGUAAAGCUGGUCUCAGUUCGGAUUGCAGUCUGCAACUCGACUGCAUGAAGUCGGAGUUGCUAGUAAACGCGCGUCAGCCACAGUGCGUUGAAUACGUUCCCGGGUCUUGCACUCACCGCCCGUC
This 702-nucleotide ribosomal RNA is filed under the name uncultured bacterium. RNAcentral describes it as "bacterial SSU rRNA". It matches the Rfam family "Bacterial small subunit ribosomal RNA", at positions 686 to 1398 of the family's 1533-position model. The record is from RNAcentral.